This 472-nucleotide long non-coding RNA is filed under the name Androctonus crassicauda. The record is from RNAcentral. Lineage: Eukaryota; Metazoa; Arthropoda; Arachnida; Scorpiones; Buthidae.
UCUCUUGGUUGUCUCCCUAUGAUUCCUAUAUACGAUGAGGUAGUAUUAGUGCCUUAAAUUCUUUAGUUAAACGGGCUUACAAAUUGUGUUCACAUUUUUCGGACUUACAACAAGAAUUAACUCUUAUUGUCAAUACUUUUAGUAAACAUGGAUUUCCUACCAAAAAGAUUUUGAAAAUUAUCCAUAAAGUAAAAGAUAAAUUCUAUGUUAACCCCGUAAAUCAUACUCCAGCAAUGCUUAAUAAUAGAAUUGUUAACGUAAGUCUUCCUCAACAUGCUAUGCUCAAGAAUCUUAAAGGCUCUAUUGAAAAAGAAUUUAAUGUUACAAUACCAGCUAGUAGAAACAAAAAUGUAUUCGCCGCAAUAUGCAAUGAUAAAGAAAGGAGACCAACUCCAUUAAAAGGGGGCAUUUAUAAAAUUCCUUUCAUAAACAACGAUACGAAUACUACCUCAUCGUAUAUAGGAAUCACAGG